Long non-coding RNA from Arachis duranensis, 1345 nucleotides. RefSeq lists it as uncharacterized. The transcript is spliced from 3 exons. The record is from RefSeq and is a predicted model, not a curated record. Lineage: Eukaryota; Viridiplantae; Streptophyta; Magnoliopsida; Fabales; Fabaceae.
GAUGCAGGAAGGAAGAGUUGAGAGGAUGAGGGGGAAAAAGAGGGAGGCGGCACGGUGGGUGUCACUGCCGCCGUCGCCGCCGCUGUCGAUAGGAGAAGAGAGGGAGAUCUGAGAGAGCUGAACGGGAAGAGAGGGGAAGAGACCUCGCUGCCGCGCCUAGUCCGCUGCGUGCCUCGUCGCACCGCCGUCCAGACCGCGUCCUUGUCAUCGCGAGCUGUUGCCAUCGCCAACCAGGACCCAUCGUUGUCGCCGUUCCCUGCGCCACCGUCGCGCCCAGCCUUGUCGUCGAGUCGCCGCGCAGUCACUCCAAGGAAGAACUCUUGCGGGAAGAGAGAGAAGAUGCUGUCAAGGAUCCCGACGCCAUCAGUCUGUCUCACGCCGCCGUUGAGGAAGCUCGUCACCGCCGUGCUUCCAUCAGCGCCGUGAAUCUGCUUCAUCGUCGAACUGAGCUAUAGAAGGAAGGGUUAGAACGUGACGGGAAAGAGAGACACCUUCCACCGCUGUCUCGCUGCCAGAGCUGUGUCACCGCCACGAACUGCCGCCGUUCUGGCAGCCGGAAGCCGCCGCCGAGCCUUUGCCUUUUUGGUAAGCGUUUUACUUCCAGAACUUUUGAAAUCAAAUAUUCCAAUACAAGUUAUUAGAGGCUCUGAGCUGUUGGUAUUGUAGAAUUGAGUUCCGAUGAUUUAAUAUCAAAGUUAAGGUUGUUGUUGGACUAUCGGAGUUUCUAGCCGCUGUCAGAGCUACCGCCGGGUCAGCUCGGGUUUGCGGCUGUUCCAUUUUACUCUUAUUGAUUGGGUUACCAGGAUUAUCUGUUGCAAUUAAAGUUGUUUCUGCUAUUGCGGAAGUGAGCAGACCUGUGAUUGAAGCUGCAGUUGAUUUCGGGCGGAGAGGAAUGGUUCUUGUGACGCCUUUAAUUUAUGGGUUCAACUUUCGAGCUUUAUCUUUUCAGGAACCGGAUGAAGAAGCAUUAAGAAGAGUUAUACUGCGUUUGGUUUACAUGUUUUAAUUAGUUUAUUUUCUACCCUCGACUUUGUUAUUAUAAAUUUGUAAGAGGGAUAUGAAUUGUGUGUUUUAUAUGUAUAUUAUAUUAUGAGUUAUUAUGUAAGGAGUCUUGUAUAUGAAUCUAUGCCUGCUUGUAUUUUUCUUAAAAUAAAGUAUUUAUUUCCGGUUUUAAAAGAAAUCAGCGAUACAAUGUCGAGUCACAGGCUCCUAUUUUUAGUAUUUAGUAUGUAAAGUAGUCGUAAUACUUCUUGCUACCAGAGUAGCGCAGCCGGAAGCGUGACUUCUAAUAGUGAGGGUGUUACAUUAGUCAUUUACAUUGAGAAAGAAAUUGCAGCUAUUUUCA